AUACGUAGGUGGCAAGCGUUGUCCGGAUUUGCUGGGUGUAAAGGGCGUGUAGGCGGAGAUGCAAGUCAGGAGUGAAAUCUAGGGGCUCAACCCCUAAACUGCUUUUGAAACUGUAUCCCUUGAGUAUCGGAGAGGCAGGCGGAAUUCCUAGUGUAGCGGUGAAAUGCGUAGAUAUUAGGAGGAACACCAGUGGCGAAGGCGGCCUGCUGGACGACAACUGACGCUGAGGCGCGAAAGCGUGGGGAGCAAACAGGAUUAGAUACCCUGGUAGUCCACGCUGUAAACGAUGAAUACUAGGUGUGGGGGGACUGACCCCCUCCGUGCCGCAGUUAACACAAUAAGUAUUCCACCUGGGGAGUACGAUCGCAAGAUUGAAACUCAAAUGAAUUGACGGGG
RNAcentral lists this ribosomal RNA (396 nucleotides) under uncultured bacterium. Its description in RNAcentral is "partial 16S ribosomal RNA". It matches the Rfam family "Bacterial small subunit ribosomal RNA", at positions 523 to 918 of the family's 1533-position model. The record is from RNAcentral.